RNAcentral lists this ribosomal RNA (1352 nucleotides) under uncultured bacterium. RNAcentral describes it as "bacterial SSU rRNA". It matches the Rfam family "Bacterial small subunit ribosomal RNA", at positions 8 to 1378 of the family's 1533-position model. The record is from RNAcentral.
AGAGUUUGAUCCUGGCUCAGGAUGAACGCUGGCGGCGUGCUUAACACAUGCAAGUCGAACGAAGCACUUUAGAAUGCUUGCAUUUUAAAGUGACUGAGUGGCGGACGGGUGAGUAACGCGUGGGUAACCUACCUCAUACAGGGGGAUAACAGUUAGAAAUGACUGCUAAUACCGCAUAAGCCUCCGAUAUCGCAUGAUAAAGAAGGAAAAGUUUUUCGGUAUGAGAUGGGCCCGCGUCUGAUUAGCUAGUUGGUGGGGUAAAGGCCUACCAAGGCGACGAUCAGUAGCCGGCUUGAGAGAGUGAACGGCCACAUUGGAACUGAGACACGGUCCAAACUCCUACGGGAGGCAGCAGUGGGGAAUAUUGCACAAUGGGGGAAACCCUGAUGCAGCGACGCCGCGUGAGUGAAGAAGUAUUUCGGUAUGUAAAGCUCUAUCAGCAGGGAAGAAAAUGACGGUACCUGACUAAGAAGCCCCGGCUAACUACGAGCCAGCAGCCGCGGUAAUACGUAGGGGGCAAGCGUUAUCCGGAAUGACUGGGUGUAAAGGGUGCGCAGGUGGUUUGGUAAGUCAGAUGUGAAAAUCCAGGGCUCAACUUUGGAACUGCAUUGGAAACUGCCCGUCUUGAGUGCCGGAGAGGUAAGCGGAAUUCCUAGUGUAGCGGUGAAAUGCGUAGAUAUUAGGAGGAACACCAGUGGCGAAGGCGGCCUACUGGGCACCAACUGACGCUGAGGCUCGAAAGUGUGGGUAGCAAACAGGAUUAGAUACCCUGGUAGUCCACACCGUAAACGAUGAUUACUAGGUGUUGGAGGAUUGACCCCUUCAGUGCCGCAGUUAACACAAUAAGUAAUCCACCUGGGGAGUACGACCGCAAGGUUGAAACUCAAAGGAAUUGACGGGGGCCCGCACAAGCAGUGGAGUAUGUGGUUUAAUUCGACGCAACGCGAAGAACCUUACCAAGUCUUGACAUCCCUUGACGAUGCUGGAAACAGUAUUUCUCUUCGGAGCAAGGAGACAGGUGGUGCAUGGUUGUCGUCAGCUCGUGUCGUGAGAUGUUGGGUUAAGUCCCGCAACGAGCGCAACCCUUAUGGUCAGUUACUACGCAAGAGGACUCUGGCCAGACUGCCGUUGACAAAACGGAGGAAGGUGGGAUGACGUCAAAUCAUCAUGCCCUUUAUGACUUGGGCUACACACGUACUACAAUGGCGUUAAACAAAGAGAAGCAAGACCGCGAGGUGGAGCAAAACUCAGAAACAACGUCCCAGUUCGGACUGCAGGCUGCAACUCGCCUGCACGAAGUCGGAAUUGCUAGUAAUAAUGGAUCAGCAUGCCACGGUGAAUACGUUCCCGGG